UACGUAGGGGGCGAGCGUUAUCCGGAAUUACUGGGCGUAAAGCGCACGCAGGCGGUUCGCCAAGUUUGGAGUGACAGUUGUCGGCUCAACCGGCAAAGGACUUCAAAAACUGGUGAACUUGAGGACGAGAGAGGAACAUGGAACUCCAGGUGUAGUAGUGAAAUGCGUAGAUAUCUGGAAGAACACCAAUGGCGAAGGCAAUGUUCUGGCUCGUUUCUGACGCUCAGGUGCGAAGGCCAGGGGAGCGAACGGG
RNAcentral lists this ribosomal RNA (253 nucleotides) under uncultured bacterium. RNAcentral's name for it is "partial 16S ribosomal RNA". It matches the Rfam family "Bacterial small subunit ribosomal RNA", at positions 524 to 776 of the family's 1533-position model. The record is from RNAcentral.